GAUGAACGCUGGCGGCGUGCCUAAUACAUGCAAGUCGAGCGAACAGACGAGGAGCUUGCUCCUCUGACGUUAGCGGCGGGCGGGUGAGUAACACGUGGAUAACCUACCUAUAAGACUGGGAUAACUUCGGGAAACCGGCGCUAAUACCGGAUAAUAUAUUGAACCGCAUGGUUCAAUAGUGAAAGACGGUUUUGCUGUCACUUAUAGAUGGAUCCUCGCCGCAUUAGCUAGUUGGUAAGGUAACGGCUUACCAAGGCAACGAUGCGUAGCCGACCAGAGAGGGUGAUCGGCCACACUGGAACUGAGACACGGUCCAGACUCCUACGGGAGGCAGCAGUAGGGAAUCUUCCGCAAUGGGCGAAAGCCUGACGGAGCAACGCCGCGUGAGUGAUGAAGGUCUUCGGAUCGUAAAACUCUGUUAUUAGGGAAGAACAAAUGUGUAAGUAACUAUGCACGUCUUGACGGUACCUAAUCAGAAAGCCACGGCUAACUACGUG
Molecule: ribosomal RNA, 497 nt
Filed under: uncultured bacterium
Lineage: Bacteria
Description: partial 16S ribosomal RNA
Rfam family: Bacterial small subunit ribosomal RNA
Source: RNAcentral